This 4140-nucleotide unclassified non-coding RNA is filed under the name Leishmania donovani. Its description in RNAcentral is "gene:LdHU3.19.0600(CDS-product:metallo-_peptidase _Clan_MG_Family_M24)". The record is from RNAcentral. Lineage: Eukaryota; Euglenozoa; Kinetoplastea; Trypanosomatida; Trypanosomatidae.
CAGACCACCACCACGCACGUGCGCUGCAAGGACCGUGGCAGCACAACGCCACCGACACCGACGAAAGGGGGAAAAACGCAAAUACACACACACACAUAUAUACUCAUUUGCCCGGCACGCCAAGCGCUAAGAAGUAUAUAAUACACAAGAGCCGAGACACACGCACACACAGAGUAGCUGCCCCAUCACCGCCACACGCACCCUGCACCCUCCUGCCUCUUUUCGUUUCUUCUCGCUCAAGUACUUUGGAUACUUCCCUCCCCUAUAAUGCCUUGCGAAGGCUGCGGCGUCAGUGAGGCCGGCCUGCAGUGCCCCACCUGCAAGAAACUGAGCUUGCCGCCGAGCUUCUUCUGCACGCAGGACUGCUUCCGGGCGCAUUGGGGAACGCACAAGCUGAAGCACACCGAGAUGAAGAACCUGCCCGCCACGAUCCCCACAAUGACGGAGGUGGACGAGCGGCUCUUCAACUUCACGGGGCCACUCCGUCCUGGAAAAAUCACGCCACGCCGUGCUGUGCCAAAGGAGAUAGCGCGGCCAGACUACGCGGAGCGAAACGACGGCGUUUCCGAGUCGGAGGAGAAGGAUCGAGGCAGCCACCGCGUCGUUGCACACAACCUCAAGAACUUGCACGAAGACUACAACAACGCCGAGCUGCGCCGGAGCUCCGACAUCCUCAAGAUCAAACGUGUGAAUGCGCUCUCGCGUGAAGUGCUGGACAUCGCCUGCGCGGCGGUGAAGCCGGGCGUCACGACGGACGAAAUUGACCGCAUCGUCCACGAGGCGACGAUCAAGCGCGGCAUGUACCCAUCGCCGCUGAAUUACUACAACUUCCCCAAGUCCGUCUGCACCAGCGUGAACGAGAUCAUCUGCCACGGCAUUCCAGACAACCGCCCACUCGAGGAGGGCGACAUAGUAAACAUAGACGUCUCUUGCUACCUCGACGGCUUCCACGGCGAUUUGAACGAAACGGUGUUUGUCGGCAAGCCAGACGAGGAAAGCGUGAAGAUUGUGCACACGGCGUACGCCUGCAUGAUGGCCGGCAUCAGCGUUGUGAAACCGGAUGAACUCUACCGCUACAUCGGUGACGCCAUCGAGGCGCGGGCGGAGAAGUCGGGCUGCAGUGUAGUGCGCAGCUACACCGGGCAUGGUAUCGGCAAGUUCUUUCACACGGCACCGAACGUGUGCCAUUACAAGGACAACAAAAGCCCCGGACUCAUCAAGCCCGGGCACGUCUUCACAAUUGAGCCGAUGAUCAACCUGGGUACGUGGCAGGAUGUAACCUGGCCUGAUAACUGGACGAGUGCAACGAAGGAUGGCAAGCGCACCGCGCAGUUUGAGCACACGAUGGUGUGCACACCAGAAGGGGUAGAGCUUCUGACAGACUGGAAGGACGGCAUACCCUUUUACCAGAAGCAGCUGAGGGAAUGGGGCAUUCCGAUCCCCGCCGAAGACCCCAGCGAAAUCAAAAUCUGAGGAAUACUCCACGAAACACAGACCGAGGGGAGGGAGGGGGUGGCGGGCUGCAUUCCCUCAAGACCGUGAGCGCGUUCUUGGGAGGAGUGUGCCUGCUGCCCCUCUUGUGGUGCUGUGGGUGAGGAGACGCGUUGGGAGUCUUUCCCGCAUGCCUUUCUUUCCUGAGUGCUUCUGCCGCCUGCCCUCGGGCACGGCUGGCGGACUCUUGACGUGGGCGGGAGGAGUCGUGGGCGUAGCCUGCGCUGCAUGCAGUGAGGUAGCCAUGACGCUGAGCAGCGCCCCACGGUGCUGGCCGGCUCGGUUUUGUGGCGCAUCGUCGCUGCAAGCCCGUGCUGUGCAGGGGGCGCGUCACCCCCGCAGGCCUGUAAGGCCUUUGGUCUCCCUCGCUCUCAUCAUUGCGGCGCAGCAAGAGACGACGGGCACGCCGGUGGCGUCUCGGUGCUCCUCCAGCGGGGCGUACGCACAGGUGCAGGCCCGAGGACCCACAAGUGCGAGCGCUGUGUGCACGCGCUGCCAGCCACCGCUGGCGUGGUGUGUCGCAGCCACGCAGGGCGGCACGCGGAGGUCCGCAGAGCAACGGUGAGGCGCGGAGAAUGCGUUAGAGGAUCCAGACGAAUCAACUGCCCACGCAGGGCACGCGUGCGAAACAUGUGCGGCAUCUCCCACCUCCGACCGUGCGGGCUGACGCGGCGCCGAUGCGGGAAGCACGACGAGAGCCCCCUGAACUCGCGCCAUCGAGUCUUCCAGACUGGAGUGUGGAGAGUCACUGCACGAUCUUGUGGAAUGCCGCGGCUUGAGGCGACGGAGAUUGCGCAACACGACACACACACACACAAACACACAGGUCGGGUGUAGAGGGUCUCAGCGGGCCCUGGCCUGCAGCUGGCCAACGUCCUGCUUGAGGUCAUCCGGCAUGCAGGUGGGCCAGCCCCCCUCCCCCCACCCCCUAUUACCCGCACGGCAGACGCCACCGCUUCCGCCCUCGAGUAAGGACCCGGACGCAGCCGUGGGGAGGGCGGGGGGGCGGUGCAGCGGAGGCGGGUGAGCAGUGGCUGCAUCUGCGUCUGUGUUGCUGGCAUGUGUUCGUGGGCGGGAUCGGGGCACGGUGAAACGAGAAGCUCUUCACGUACUGCUUUAGUCGGAUGACGGGGGAGGGGACACCUCAGCCGCGCAGCAGGAUCUACCACCUACUGUUUUGGAAAGCCGAUAAGCCCCUCUCCCCUCUUAUCCCUCCCAGCGCCGAGCCACACCUGGCGGUGGCGGGACCAAGCACCGAAGGCUUUGUGGAUUCAGUGCGGUGCGUCGCUACUGCCGUCGGCGGCGAGGUCGCGGACGGCGUUGCGUCGGAGCGGACUGCGACCGUGCACGCGCUUGUGCCAUGGACAUGCUAGUCAGCGUGUGAAGGUGGCUCGGACGUAUGGCGCCCGCGGCCCUGACUGGGUAGUUGUGGGGAGCCUGCGCCACCCGGAGGGAUGCACGAGGCGGUGACCCGCCUAAUGGGAGGCGGCUGUGGGGCGGCCUGCGGAGCCGGUGGGGGUGGGGGGCCGGGUGUGUGUCUGUGAGGUUGGAGGCAGGGCUGUGCUGAGAUGGCCGAGUCGGUGCAUUGCCAUGGCACGUGUUUCCAUGGCUGCUUUCGCAUCACGCGGAAUGGGGGGGGGCCUGUGACAGACCGGGAUGUGGCUGGAAGGUAGGGUUGUGCCGUGUGGGAGAUGAAAAGCGCAUUGCGGACACCGCUCUCUCCCUCACUGUCGUUGUCUGGCAUGCUUGGUGGCUUUCACGCUUGCGCUCUCCAUUCUUUGUACGUUAGUGCAUGCUCCCGCGGAGAGGGGAGGGGAGGGGGAGAGGUGCGCAGGUGAAACCGCGUGCCUUUUCCCAAGUGUCUCACGGCACGGAUGCGCGAUGUGUCUUGUUCGCCUUGUGCUGUGGGCGUGCAUAGACGCCUGUCUUGCCCCCGCCACAGCUGGAAAUUUCUGUGGACUGGUGUAUGGCUUCUCUUCUGCCUAAGGUGUAAGCCGAGAAGGUGUCUGUAUAUGUGCGCGGGCGCCAAGUUUUUCAGGAUUUGAAGUACAGCCACGACGGGGAACCGCAUCGCCAACCCUUUCCCACAGGCUUACCGGUCUCGCGGUCAGCAUAUCCUUUUCGAGGAUUUGGCUGCUCAAAGGGUGAACCGACCGCGGAGGCGCAGAAUCGGUUGAGUGUCCUCCCCCCUCCCCGCCGCAACUCUCCGCCGCUAGAGGGACCUCGGGGCGUGCUUGCUGUUUAAAGGAAGAUGCGCUUGGCUUCGUCAUUGCCCUCGGGCAGAUUCGCCGUCCGUUUCGGAACAUCUUGUGGUCCAGCGCUUUCUGCGCCCAACGUUGCAAACUUGCCCGUUUUUUUUUUCUUCGCACUGGUGCCCUCGUCUCUUCCUCCUCUGUUUUCUUUUUUUUUUCGAGCACGGAGCCUCCUCCUCACCCCCCAACCCUCACACGCACUGCCUCUCCGCGCGAACACGCACCACACGCACUGGCAUCGCCACAUGCGUACACGAAUCAACCCUCGUCCUGCUCCUUCUUGCCUCGUGGCAUUGUUUGCUGCCACGCCCGCGCACGCUCUGAUGGGAUGCGGCCGACGUACUCAAACUUAUUUGCAUAUGGCGCGUCUUUGGAUGUGCGUAUGCGCUGGCGCAAG